CCUACGGGAGGCAGCAGUAAGGAAUAUUGGUCAAUGGACGCAAGUCUGAACCAGCCAUGCCGCGUGAAGGAUUAAGGUCCUCUGGAUUGUAAACUUCUUUUAUCUGGGACGAAAAAAGGCGAUUCUUCGUCACUUGACGGUACCAGAUGAAUAAGCACCGGCUAACUCCGUGCCAGCAGCCGCGGCAAUACGGAGGGUGCAAGCGUUAUCCGGAUUCACUGGGUUUAAAGGGUGCGUAGGCGGGCAGGUAAGUCAGUGGUGAAAUCCUAGAGCUUAACUCUAGAACUGCCAUUGAUACUAUCUGCCUUGAAUAUUGUGGAGGUAAGCGGAAUAUGUCAUGUAGCGGUGAAAUGCUUAGAUAUGACAUAGAACACCUAUUGCGAAGGCAGCUUACUACGCAUAUAUUGACGCUGAGGCACGAAAGCGUGGGGAUCAAACAGGAUUAGAUACCCUGGUAGUCCACGCCCUAAACGAUGAUUACUCGACAUUUGUGAUACACUAUAAGUGUGUGAGAGAAGAGAUAAGUAAUACUUACCGUUAGGUAAGUUAACGACCGACGAGGUUAGAACGUACAANAGAGUUAGACGGCGNGAGACGNGCGACGGACGACGACGAGGGAGGUUAGGAG
RNAcentral lists this ribosomal RNA (628 nucleotides) under uncultured bacterium. RNAcentral describes it as "bacterial SSU rRNA". The stretch from base 1 to 536 matches the Rfam family "Bacterial small subunit ribosomal RNA", at positions 338 to 873 of the family's 1533-position model. The record is from RNAcentral.